AGUGAACGCUGGCGGUAGGCCUAACACAUGCAAGUCGAACGGCAGCACAGUAAGAGCUUGCUCUUACGGGUGGCGAGUGGCGGACGGGUGAGGAAUACAUCGGAAUCUACUUUUUCGUGGGGGAUAACGUAGGGAAACUUACGCUAAUACCGCAUACGACCUACGGGUGAAAGCAGGGGAUCUUCGGACCUUGCGCGAUUGAAUGAGCCGAUGUCGGAUUAGCUAGUUGGCGGGGUAAAGGCCCACCAAGGCGACGAUCCGUAGCUGGUCUGAGAGGAUGAUCAGCCACACUGGAGCUGAGACACGGUCCAGACUACUACGGGAGGCAGCAGUGGGGAAUAUUGGACAAUGGGCGCAAGCCUGAUCCAGCCAUACCGCGCGGGUGAAGAAGGCCUUCGGGUUGUAAAGCCCUUUUGUUGGGAAAGAAAAGCAGCAGGUUAAUACCCCGCUGUUCUGACGGUACCCAAAGAAUAAGCACCGGCUAACUUCGUG
RNAcentral lists this ribosomal RNA (492 nucleotides) under uncultured bacterium. RNAcentral's name for it is "partial 16S ribosomal RNA". It matches the Rfam family "Bacterial small subunit ribosomal RNA", at positions 29 to 507 of the family's 1533-position model. The record is from RNAcentral.